GGCCCUACGGGGUGCAGCAGGCGCGAAAACUUUACAAUGCUGGGAACAGCGAUAAGGGAACCUCGAGUGCCAGGUUACAAAUCUGGCUGUCGUGAUGCCUAAAAAGCAUUAUAUAGCAAGGGCCGGGCAAGACCGGUGCCAGCCGCCGCGGUAACACCGGCGGCUCGAGUGGUAACCGUUAUUAUUGGGUCUAAAGGGUCUGUAGCCGGCCGGAUAAGUCUCUUGGGAAAUCUGGCAGCUCAACUGUCAGGCUUUCAGGGGAUACUGUCUGGCUCGAGGCCGGGAGAGGUGAGAGGUACUUCAGGGGUAGGGGUGAAAUCUUGUAAUCCUUGAAGGACCACCAGUGGCGAAGGCGUCUCACCAGAACGGACCUGACGGCAAGGGACGAAAACUAGGGGCACGAACCGGAUUAGAUACCCGGGUAGUCCUAGCCGUAAACGAUACUCGCUAGGUGUCGGCCACGGUGCGACCGUUGUCGGUGCCGUAGGGAAGCCGUGAAGCGAGCCACCUGGGAAGUACGGCCGCAAGGCUGAAACUUAAAGGAAUUGGCGGGGGAGCACCACAACGGGUGGAGCUUGCGGUUUAAUUGGAUUCAACGCCGGAAAUCUUA
RNAcentral lists this ribosomal RNA (610 nucleotides) under uncultured archaeon. RNAcentral describes it as "bacterial SSU rRNA". It matches the Rfam family "Archaeal small subunit ribosomal RNA", at positions 319 to 929 of the family's 1478-position model. The record is from RNAcentral.